UAAUGAUUGACAGGUCCUAUGGAGGAGGCAGCAGAGACUCUGCUCUCCUCGUUUGGAUUAAUUCUGAUAUAAUAACUGUUGGUUUAUUUAUCGGUGGAGCAGCACAACAUUUUCCACAGACAGUUUUCCUGCCUGUUGGCUUGUUUAACCAGUUUUCUACCUUCGGCUGAUUCUACCAGCAGACACUGAAAGGACUCUGAUAGUUCGAAUGAAAGCAGCAAUUCCUCCUUAAGGUCAGAGAUUGCAGCAUCUGAGGGCCUCUUCAAAAGAAGACGUAGUUGAUGAAGGCGUUCUGGAGCAGGACCAGAAAGACCACGACCAAGCAGCCUUGAGAUCUUAGGCAGCGUCUCCCUCGGGUCCCUCUCUAUCUCCCCACACAUCCACCAACCACUGGAACACAUCUCCAAAGUUCUGCCGGGCCAGCUCAGCUUCCCCUCAGAAGAAGUUCCGCCACCUGCCAGAUGAAGGAGCCUUUUGAGAGGCAGCUGGCAUCAUGAUUGGACUGUACUUUGGUCUGUUCCAAUCCAGCUUCAGCUCCAGAGACGGCAGGCGGAACGAGUCAACGGAGGCCGGGUGGACGAAGGCAUGCAGCUGAGUACAAUCCAGAAAACAACAGAGGAGGAGUGCAGCGGCCCAGAGCCAGAAUAAACAGAGUAGCAUUGUGUCUCUUAGAAAACAUCAUAGUAUAGCCUUUGCUAUGAAAAAACGCCAUCAUAUACAUUGUAGAUUGUACAAAUAACAAGUCAAAGGAAAGAGACAUACAUUGUAGAAUUGUAGUAAUUGUGGGCUGACUGAUUUACUGAUUAUCAGUAUUUUAUUUUUUACUGAUUUACGGUUAUAAAUACAUUUAAAAAUGGCGCUACUUUGGCUCUGAACCUUUAUCUACCUGUGGUGGCUCUGUCUUCUGGAGUGAUUUGAUUGGUUAUACGUCAAGAAUAAAACUCCUUUAACUUAACAUCUGUAAACAAAACAAUAACGUAUCAACAAAGUUUCCUGUUAGAGUUUGUGCUCUUCUAAGUUUAACUCCAAGAUUUUAAAUACUUUCAUUUACUGCAAAUGAAUAUCGACUCCAAAUGUCUCAGUAAUAAUCAUUAUCAGCCUUAAAAACCCACAAAACACCCCUCUAUACUCGACCACACUUAGUACAGUCCGGUUCCCCCUUCUGUAAAUCUGCUUGGAAUCUUCCACUUCCUGUUUGUCAAAGUGGCCUUCUACCUGGACAAGUUUUGUUGGAGCUCAUGCAACAAACAUUUUGGGUAACUGCACUUUAAUAUGGAUGGAUGACACUGAAUUAGAGUCUGUUUUAAUGAGACUGAGUUAAGAUGUGUAGCUCUGUCGUUAAAUAGGAAAUGAUUUCUCAGAAUUCACAGAGAAAAGUAUGAAAUGUUUGCUAGGUUAGCGUCCCACAUGUUCUUUGGCUCAGCUAAAGCUAACUCUCUCCAACCUCUGGAUCUCUUGAGUUGCUUGUUGUUAAAAUAUCUUGCUAUAGGUGCUGAAGCUCAGAAAGUCUGAGAUGUUUGUUCAGAAUAAGCUCAUUCUCAAGUCUUAUCUGAACUGUCCUCUUUUGUUUGAACUUUCCCUAAACUUAGGAGUUAAUGAAAGAGCAGCACAUCCAGACUCAGUCUCAUUUAUGUAGAGAUUAAACUUCAGUGUCAUUCAUUGAUGUUAAAGUGCAGUUUUUCAAAUGUUUGUUGCACAUGCUCCCGACCAAACCAGUCCAGGUGGAAGACGAUGUGAAGAGAAAGCUCCAGAGGAUGAAUAUCACACAUUUACGUUGGAAAUAAAUGUCCUUUAAUUUGACAUUGUCAUGCAAAAUUUGGAUUUCCCUUUAAUGGCGUUCAAGUCUUUGUUGAGUGUUUUGUUGAUGUUGGUUUCUAAAUGUUUUUUGACACUCGGCCCCAAAUAUUAAAACCUUCUACGGCUCACAAGCUGCAACAA
Long non-coding RNA from Amphiprion ocellaris (clown anemonefish), 1938 nucleotides. RefSeq lists it as uncharacterized. The record is from RefSeq and is a predicted model, not a curated record. The transcript is spliced from 3 exons. NCBI's taxonomy places the organism in Eukaryota, Metazoa, Chordata, Actinopteri, Pomacentridae.